UCUCCGUUGGUGAACCAGCGGAGGGAUCAUUACCGAGUUUACAACUCCCAAACCCCUGUGAACAUACCUAUCGUUGCCUCGGCGGUGCCCGCUCCGGCGGCCCGCCAGAGGACCCCCAAACUCUUGUUUUAUACAGUAUCUUCUGAGUAACACGAUUAAAUAAAUCAAAACUUUCAACAUCGGAUCUCUUGGUUCUG
Molecule: unclassified non-coding RNA, 197 nt
Filed under: plant metagenome
Description: partial contains small subunit ribosomal RNA, internal transcribed spacer 1, and 5.8S ribosomal RNA
Source: RNAcentral